UGAAUAGGUUAAUAUUUUGAUUGGUCUUAAAGCAUUGGAUUGGUAGCUAAUUGCAAGAGGCGCAAUAUGGACAAAGAAUGGAUGUCAGCUGAUAGGAUGUCAGUAGAAUAUAUAAAAGGGGUCGAUGAGUUUCUUAAAUUUAGUUUGGAUCAUGCCAAAGAUCCAAACUAUAUUUGUUGUCCUUGUAGUAAGUGUGGAAAUAUGAAAAAGAUGUCUGCCACAAUAAUAAAAGAACUGUAUAGUUUAUGUAUAUGUAAAGAUGUUUAAGAUAUUUAAUACUAAGAAUUGUACAUGUAUUACCAAUCUUUAUAUAGUGUCGUAAACAACCAAACAAUAUCGACUGCGGAUAUUACGUUAUGAGGAUGAUGAAGAAUGUACUUAUCAAUGCCCCUCAUAUCAAACAUUUCUUGUCGAAACAGUUCACCUCCGACAAACCAUAUACUACUCAAGAAAUUGACGAAGUUAGAGAAGAAUGGGCAAUGUCAUUUUUACAAUUGGUUAGAGAAAAAUGAAUGAUGUUAUAGCUAGCUAA
This is a long non-coding RNA of Humulus lupulus (European hop), 532 nucleotides long. RefSeq lists it as uncharacterized. The transcript has 3 exons. The record is from RefSeq and is a predicted model, not a curated record. Lineage: Eukaryota; Viridiplantae; Streptophyta; Magnoliopsida; Rosales; Cannabaceae.